AACGUAGGGCACGAGCGUUAUCCGGAUUCACUGGGCGUAAAGCGCGUUGAGGCGGCUCCGUAAGUUGGGCGUGAAAGCCCCGGGUUUAACCAGGGGAGGCCGUCCAAUACUGCGGGGCUUGAGGGCAGCAGAGGGAGGUGGAAUUCCCGGUGUAGUGGUGAAAUGCGUAGAUAUCGGGAGGAACACCCGUGGCGAAGGCGGCCUCCUGGGCUGCUACUGAAGCUGAAGGCGAAAGCCAGGGGAGCGAACGGG
RNAcentral lists this ribosomal RNA (252 nucleotides) under uncultured bacterium. RNAcentral describes it as "partial 16S ribosomal RNA". It matches the Rfam family "Bacterial small subunit ribosomal RNA", at positions 524 to 776 of the family's 1533-position model. The record is from RNAcentral.